RNAcentral lists this ribosomal RNA (253 nucleotides) under uncultured bacterium. RNAcentral describes it as "partial 16S ribosomal RNA". It matches the Rfam family "Bacterial small subunit ribosomal RNA", at positions 524 to 776 of the family's 1533-position model. The record is from RNAcentral.
UACGGGGGGAGCAAACGUUGUUCGGAAUCACUGGGCGUAAAGGGCGUGUAGGCGGCUGAAUAAGUGGGAUGUUAAAUCCCCGGGCUCAACCCGGGACCUGCAUCUCAUACUGUUCAGCUCGAGCACAUCAGAGGAGACUGGAAUUCUCGGUGUAGCAGUGAAAUGCGUAGAUAUCGAGAGGAACAACAGUGGCGAAGGCGAGUCUCUGGACGACUCCUGACACUGAGGCACGAAAGCUAGGGGAGCAAACAGG